This 522-nucleotide ribosomal RNA is filed under the name uncultured Gammaproteobacteria bacterium. Its description in RNAcentral is "bacterial SSU rRNA". It matches the Rfam family "Bacterial small subunit ribosomal RNA", at positions 9 to 524 of the family's 1533-position model. The record is from RNAcentral. Lineage: Bacteria; Pseudomonadati; Pseudomonadota; Gammaproteobacteria.
GAGUUUGAUCGUGGCUCAGAUUGAACGCUGGCGGCGUGCUUAACACAUGCAAGUCGAGCGGUAACAGGCGUAGCAAUACGUGCUGACGAGCGGCGAACGGGUGAGUAAUGCUUCGGAAUCUUCCCGGUGGUGGGGAAUAACUUGGGGAAACUCAAGCUAAUACCGCAUACGACCUACGGGUGAAAGCAGGGGAUCGCAAGACCUUGCGCCAUUGGAUGAGCCGAAGUCGGAUUAGCUAGUUGGUGGGGUAACGGCCUACCAAGGCGACGAUCCGUAGCUGGUCUGAGAGGACGACCAGCCACACUGGGACUGAGACACGGCCCAGACUCCUACGGGAGGCAGCAGUGGGGAAUAUUGGACAAUGGGGGCAACCCUGAUCCAGCGACGCCGCGUGUGUGAAGAAGGCCUGCGGGUUGUAAAGCACUCUUAGUGGGGAUGAAAAGCCGAAGGCUAAUACCUUUCGGUCUUGACCUAACCCAAAGAAAAAGCACCGGCUAACUCUGUGCCAGCCGCCGCCGUAAC